AUUGAACGCUGGCGGCAGGCCUAACACAUGCAAGUCGCGCGAGCGGCGGACGGGUGAGUAAUGUCUGGGAAACUGCCUGUUGGAGGGGGAUAACUACUGGAAACUGUAGCUAAUACCGCAUACCAUCAGAUGUGCCCCGAUGGGAUUAGCUGGUAGGUGGGGUAACGGCUCACCUAGGCGACGAUCCCUAGCUGGUCUGAGAGGAUGACCAGCCACACUGGACCUGAGACACGGUCCAGACUCCUACGGGAGGCAGCAGUGGGGAAUCUUGCACCAUGGGCGCAAGCCUGGUGCAGCCAAGCCACGGGUGUGAAGAAGGCCUUCGGGUUGUAAAGCACUUUCAGCGUGGAGGCGUUACCCGCAGAAGAAGCACCGGCUAACUCCGUGCCAGCAGCCGCGGUAAUAC
Molecule: ribosomal RNA, 406 nt
Filed under: uncultured bacterium
Lineage: Bacteria
Description: partial 16S ribosomal RNA
Rfam family: Bacterial small subunit ribosomal RNA
Source: RNAcentral